CCUACAACAACAUAGAGAUAACAUGGAGCUGGCAGGUGAUCCAGGUCACAAUAGAGGUCAAGCAGUGGGAGGAGGAAGACGUGGUGGUCAAAGGAAUGUCAAAGGACAAGCACCCCUUCUGAGAGGUGGUCGUGGGCCUCGUUUGAGAUGUGUGGGGGAACGUGGUAGAGGACAAGCACCCCUUCUGAGAGGUGGUCGUGGGCCUUGUUUGAGAUGUGUGGGGGAACGUGGUAGAGGACAAGCACCCCUUCUGAGAGGUGGUCGUGGGCCUUGUUUGAGAUGUGUGGGGGAAUGUGGUAGAGGACAAACACCCCCUCUGAGAGAUGGUCGUGGGCCUCGUUUGAGAUGUGUGGGGGAAUGUGGUAGAGGACAAACACCCCUUCUGAGAGAUGGUCGUGGGCCUCGUUUGAGAGGUGUGGGGGAACGUGGUAGAGGAUAAGGCCACGGACCAAGACAGCGGCAGCAACAGCAGAGAGUGUCCAAUGAAAUCCGAGCAAUAGUUGUAGACCAUGUCGUAAAUCAUGACAAUGACUGAGGCAGCUACAAUGAUUCAACCAAACCUCAGAAGAUCAACCGUGGCCUCAAUCAUCAGAACUUUACGCAAUGAGAACCGGAACCAUGAAUUAUAACUACGCUGCGUCUUGGUCCGAUCCCUGCUACACCUCUUCUUCAGAGGAAGAGGAAGAAGAGAACCGUUACAACCACACAGUAGGUGAUAGGGUGAUGGAGCUGGAUGCUGAUGAAAACCAUCACAAAUUCCUAUUUUUGGAUGAGGUAGGUUUCAACCUGGCCAAGACAAGGAGGAGAGGUCGGAAUUUCAUUGGCCAGCGGGCAACCAUCCAAGUACCAGGACAACGUGGGGAAAACAUCACCAUGACCUGAGCCCUAGGACCAUGCCCCAGGACUACCUGACAUGAUGACUCCUUGCUGUCCCCAGUCCACCUGGCCAUGCUGCUGCUCCAGUUUCAACUGUUCUGCCUUAUUAUUAUUCGACCAUGCUGGUCAUUUAUGAACAUUUGAACAUCUUGGCCAUGUUCUGUUAUAAUCUCCACCCGGCACAGCCAAAUCAAAUCAAAUCAAAUCAAAUCAAAUUUUAUUUGUCACAUACACAUGGUUAGCAGAUGUUAAUGCGAGUGUAGCGAAAUGCUUGUGCUUCUAGUUCCGACAAUGCAGUAAUAACGAGCAAGUAAUCUAACU
Molecule: long non-coding RNA, 1197 nt
Organism: Oncorhynchus tshawytscha (Chinook salmon)
Lineage: Eukaryota; Metazoa; Chordata; Actinopteri; Salmoniformes; Salmonidae
Source: Ensembl